RNAcentral lists this ribosomal RNA (506 nucleotides) under uncultured bacterium. Its description in RNAcentral is "partial 16S ribosomal RNA". It matches the Rfam family "Bacterial small subunit ribosomal RNA", at positions 30 to 523 of the family's 1533-position model. The record is from RNAcentral.
AUUGAACGCUGGCGGCAGGCCUAACACAUGCAAGUCGAACGGUAGCAGGAAGAAGCUUGCUUCUUUGCUGACGAGUGGCGGACGGGUGAGUAAUGUCUGGGAAACUGCCUGAUGGAGGGGGAUAACUACUGGAAACGGUAGCUAAUACCGCAUAACGUCGCAAGACCAAAGAGGGGGACCUUCGGGCCUCUUGCCAUCAGAUGUGCCCAGAUGGGAUUAGCUAGUAGGUGGGGUAACGGCUCACCUAGGCGACGAUCCCUAGCUGGUCUGAGAGGAUGACCAGCCACACUGGAACUGAGACACGGUCCAGACUCCUACGGGAGGCAGCAGUGGGGAAUAUUGCACAAUGGGCGCAAGCCUGAUGCAGCCAUGCCGCGUGUGUGAAGAAGGCCUUCGGGUUGUAAAGCACUUUCAGCGGGGAGGAAGGGGGAAUGGUUAAUAACCAUUGCCAUUGACGUUACCCGCAGAAGAAGCACCGGCUAACUCCGUGCCAGCCGCCGCAGUAA